AUUGAACGCUGGCGGCAGGCCUAACACAUGCACGUCGAACGAGUGGCGGAAGGGUGAGUAAUGUCUGGGAAACUGCCCGAUGGAGGUGGAUAACUACUGGAAACGGUAGCUAAUACCGCCUACCAUCGGAUGUGCCCAGAUUGGAGUAGCGAGUAGGUGGGGUAACGGCUCACCUAGGCGACGAUCCCUAGCUGGUCUCAGAGGAGAACCAGCCACACUGGAACUGAGAACCGGUCCAGACUCCUACGGGAGGCAGCAGUGGGGAAUAUUGCACAAGGGGCGCAAGCCUGCUGCAGCCAUGCAGCGUGUAUGAAGUAGGCCUUCGGGUUGUAAAGUACUUUCAUCGAGGAGGCGUUACUCGCAGAAGAAGCACCGGUUAACUCCGUGCCAGCAGCCGCGGUAAUAC
This 406-nucleotide ribosomal RNA is filed under the name uncultured bacterium. RNAcentral describes it as "partial 16S ribosomal RNA". It matches the Rfam family "Bacterial small subunit ribosomal RNA", at positions 30 to 526 of the family's 1533-position model. The record is from RNAcentral.